AACCGACACAGGUGGUCAGGUAGAGAAUACCAAGGCGCUUGAGAGAACUCGGGUGAAGGAACUAGGCAAAAUGGUGCCGUAACUUCGGGAGAAGGCACGCUGACACGUAGGUGAAGUGAUUUACUCACGGAGCUGAAGUCAGUCGAAGAUACCAGCUGGCUGCAACUGUUUAUUAAAAACACAGCACUGUGCAAACACGAAAGUGGACGUAUACGGUGUGACGCCUGCCCGGUGCCGGAAGGUU
This 244-nucleotide ribosomal RNA is filed under the name Salmonella enterica subsp. enterica serovar 4,[5],12:i:-. RNAcentral's name for it is "partial 23S ribosomal RNA". It matches the Rfam family "Bacterial large subunit ribosomal RNA", at positions 1652 to 1878 of the family's 2925-position model. The record is from RNAcentral. Lineage: Bacteria; Pseudomonadati; Pseudomonadota; Gammaproteobacteria; Enterobacterales; Enterobacteriaceae.